This is a long non-coding RNA of Prionailurus viverrinus (fishing cat), 408 nucleotides long. RefSeq lists it as uncharacterized. Lineage: Eukaryota; Metazoa; Chordata; Mammalia; Carnivora; Felidae. The record is from RefSeq and is a predicted model, not a curated record. The transcript has 2 exons.
GCUCAACUGACUGAGCCACCGAGGUGCCCCUGGCCUUCUGUGAAGACUUGUGCAGAAGCAGACUACUACCGUGGGUUUGGAGCAGAAGGACAGCAACUGGGCACCAUCCCCGACCCUCGCUUGGCCCAGGGGAGAGAAGGCUCGCCAUGCAAGGACCACUUGGGCUCAGACAGUGGGCGUCUCAAGUGCCAUCCGUGUGGCGUGAAGAUUCCCACCCCACGGAGAAGCUCUCCUAUCCAGCGGACAAAGGACCAAGGACAAAGACCACCACCAUCCUUCCAAGCGUGCCUGAGGUUGGAUAUCUUACCCUCUUGGCAAAGGGCGGCUCAUAAUCAAAUUUUAUUUGAUUUAGGAAAAAUACUGACGGUUCUCGUACCUGAGUGUUAUCGAAUAAACCCAUGCUUGAUA